AUCCCUGUAGUGCAAUGGUUAGCGCAUUGGACUUCUAAUCCAAAGGUUGUGGGUUCGAAUCCCACCUGGGAUG
RNAcentral lists this transfer RNA (73 nucleotides) under Trichonephila inaurata madagascariensis. It matches the Rfam family "tRNA". From Rfam's summary of the family: Transfer RNA (tRNA) molecules are approximately 80 nucleotides in length. Lineage: Eukaryota; Metazoa; Arthropoda; Arachnida; Araneae; Nephilidae. The record is from Rfam by way of RNAcentral.